CCAGGCUUAAGCGAUCCUCCUACCUCAGCCUCCUAGGACUAUAGAUGAGUAAACUGAAACACAGAGAAGCCAAGUGACUGUCUUUAUCCAGUGAAGAAGUGGUGUGCAGGAAUUCAGACCAGAUGGUGUGACUCCAGGAUCUAUGCUCUUUAUCUCCAUGCCAGUCUGCCCAUUCUCCUGUGCCCUUCUCAUUUGAGAAGUUGCUGCUUGCUGCCCAGCUUACAGUUCAGGUUGCCAGGGUGGGAGCAAUAUUUUUCAUAGCGCUUAGUCCAACCCUCUUGUUACAGCUGAUUGAUGACAGGUAGAUAGAUCCCUGAUCAAUGAUAGUCUAUGGCUAUUCUGCAAUCUGUCACUCAGGUGGACUCUCACUCCGUGGUAUUUAAAUGAAGCAACUUGGAAAUAAUUUGCUAGUUGUUAAGGAACAGGAAAAAGUGGAUGGGUGGCCUGUAGAUGAGUCAUAUUUAAAGUGACUUAUCUAUAAUAAAGGUAUUAGUGCUUCUGCUA
Non-coding RNA from Macaca mulatta (Rhesus monkey), 504 nucleotides. The record is from RefSeq and is a predicted model, not a curated record. NCBI's taxonomy places the organism in Eukaryota, Metazoa, Chordata, Mammalia, Primates, Cercopithecidae.